AGGAUUUUAGUUUAAAUAAAACAUUUGAUUUGCAUUCAAAAUAUAUUGAAAUUUCAAUUUAUCUUA
Molecule: transfer RNA, 66 nt
Filed under: Corcobara angulipennis
Lineage: Eukaryota; Metazoa; Arthropoda; Insecta; Lepidoptera; Erebidae
Description: tRNA-Ala
Source: RNAcentral